This 333-nucleotide long non-coding RNA is filed under the name Salvia miltiorrhiza (redroot sage). Its description in RNAcentral is "long non-coding RNA (SMIL_LNC012252)". Lineage: Eukaryota; Viridiplantae; Streptophyta; Magnoliopsida; Lamiales; Lamiaceae. The record is from RNAcentral.
GGACAUGAAGACCUCCAGAAAACUGGCAGCGAAAUCGCCAUUUCUCUGGCAAGCUCAACACCGCACAAAAACCCAAAACAACAAAACAAAAAGGAAACAAAACGAAACAAAACUAAACAGAAAGAAAGGAAAACAAAACAAAGAAAAACAAUUGGGUUACCUCCCAACAAGUGCUUAAUUUAACGUCUAGAGCUCGACGAUACCUCAAACUCAUGGGUCAUUGAAUUUGACAACUUCAAGACCACGAUCCACGUUUGACUUGAAGUAUGGUUUGAGACGAUGACCAUUGACAGUGAAGAUAGUGCCAUCAGCGGCAAACAACUCAUACGUCCC